CCUACGGGGGGCAGCAGUGGGGAAUAUUGGACAAUGGGGGCAACCCUGAUCCAGCCAUGCCGCGUGUGUGAAGAAGGCCCUCGGGUUGUAAAGCACUUUCAGUGAGGAAGAACGCCUGGUGGUUAAUACCCAUCAGGAAAGACAUCACUCACAGAAGAAGCACCGGCUAACUCCGUGCCAGCAGCCGCGGUAAUACGGAGGGUGCGAGCGUUAAUCGGAAUUACUGGGCGUAAAGCGCGCGUAGGUGGCUUGAUAAGCCGGUUGUGAAAGCCCCGGGCUCAACCUGGGAACGGCAUCCGGAACUGUCAAGCUAGAGUGCAGGAGAGGAAGGUAGAAUUCCCGGUGUAGCGGUGAAAUGCGUAGAGAUCGGGAGGAAUACCAGUGGCGAAGGCGGCCUUCUGGACUGAGACUGACACUGAGGUGCGAAAGCGUGGGUAGCAAACAGGAUUAGAUACCCCGGUAGUC
This 465-nucleotide ribosomal RNA is filed under the name Vreelandella stevensii. RNAcentral's name for it is "partial 16S ribosomal RNA". It matches the Rfam family "Bacterial small subunit ribosomal RNA", at positions 338 to 795 of the family's 1533-position model. The record is from RNAcentral. Lineage: Bacteria; Pseudomonadati; Pseudomonadota; Gammaproteobacteria; Oceanospirillales; Halomonadaceae.